GAUGAGCUGUUUUACCGUUCUGAGGUCUGUGUUCUCUACUUCCUUUUGAUUAUGGUUUUCAAAACUGUCAACCGGGGGUGUGUGUGUGUGUGUGUGUGUGUGUUAUCGUGAGGACAGGUAGUGACAGCGUGUACAAGUGUCCUCCUUUUUGUUCCCUAAACUUUAGGUCUGUUGGACCAAACUGUCAGGUCAGUGAUGAUUUUGACACCAUGGCGUCAUGCUCAACAUUGCGAAACACUUUGGCCUUUCUAGUCUCGCGUAAUUUCCAGAGAACAAGAACGAAGAUGAAAUGCCGGAUGGUGAAUGGUAGCCCUAGGAGAAUCGGUGAGGACCAGAUGUUGCUGAAUUAUCUGGUGCUUGGAAGAACGCUAAUCAUACACUACAUUCUACGAGAAACACGGCAUGUGAAGAGAUGGUGUUGAUCUUCAGUACCAUUAGGGCACCGAGAACGUGCAGCAUUGGUCCACAGGUUUUUCUGAAGGAGGUUUUGCUUGGUGUUCAGCCUGUCAAGGUGGAGCAGCCAGCCAAAUAUGUUGACUUAGCUUGGCAUUUGCGAUUCCUAGAUAAUGUCCAGCUUUGGGUCGCCCAUUUGGGAAGAGAGGUCCACAUAUAUGCUCCCUAGUGGUGAAGCUUGCUCCAUGGAGGGUCCUGGUAUCCGGCUGUGCAGAAACGGUGACACCCUGCGACUUGGAUCGGGGAAACAAGUUCCUAGGCAGCAGCUCGUGUGAGUGGCUGUGGUGUGGCAGCGAAGGGUACUUUUGUCGUGCGAGGGGGAUGGGUCAUGGUUGUGUGGGUGGGAGUCUAGAACCAUCCUCCUACACACACAUACACACACAUACUAAAGGACAGACCCCAGAGAAGCUCCCACACAAGGUGGGGUUUGGGGAGGGAUUAUAGGAACCUAGUCUUACCCCCCUGCAAAGUGCAAUGCAGAGAGGCUGGAAUGUAUGUGAACUACUUGUGAUGAUGUAUAUAUAUAUAUAUCUAACGUCAAGUAUGGCUUGUCUGCAGGAAUAAGUGAAGCUUAGAUGAUGAAUCUCAAGUACAAGAGCAGGAGUUUGUUUUUAGAGAGGAUAAGAUCAGUUCGAGGCCAGCUUACCUCGAGAGAAGAGACGCCAUGCCCAUCAUCAGCCUGUGUGCGCCGCUUCAGUAAAAUGAAAGAAAGGCAUUGUAAAUUGGACAAUUACUAAAUUGAACUGACACAAGCGCUAGCUUCCACCUUGUAAUAUAGUACAUGUAGUAGUAGUACUGAAGCACAACUAACUAUAGGAAGUAGGAGGUGCAUGGAGCUCCAAAGGAAAGGAUGUUUCAUCAGACAAAUCUGCUGUCAUAUUAAUGGAGUGGAGUACCAUCAUUGGUACAGUAGUAAUCAUCAUAGCUAUGAUAACUAAGUGCACUCUUAUGUCUAUGCUAAUGAGUGGCAAUUUUG
RNAcentral lists this long non-coding RNA (1429 nucleotides) under Hordeum vulgare. Its description in RNAcentral is "long non-coding RNA (HVUL_LNC007720)". Lineage: Eukaryota; Viridiplantae; Streptophyta; Magnoliopsida; Poales; Poaceae. The record is from RNAcentral.